UUUAUACUCCCUCCGUCCCAAAAUUCUUGUCUUAGAUUUAUCUACAUACAGAUGUAUCUAGUCACAUUUUAGUGUUAGAUACAUCCGUAUCUAGACAAAUCUACGACAAGAAUUUUAGGACGGAGGAGAUACAUC
Molecule: non-coding RNA, 135 nt
Organism: Triticum aestivum (bread wheat)
Lineage: Eukaryota; Viridiplantae; Streptophyta; Magnoliopsida; Poales; Poaceae
Source: Rfam